GACGAACGCUGGCGGCGUGCCUAAUACAUGCAAGUAGAACGCUGAAGCGAGGAGCUUGCUCUUCUUGGAUGAGUUGCGAACGGGUGAGUAACGCGUAGGUAACCUGCCUUGUAGCGGGGGAUAACUAUUGGAAACGAUAGCUAAUACCGCAUAACAAUAGGUGACACAUGUCAUUUAUUUGAAAGGGGCAAUUGCUCCACUACAAGAUGGACCUGCGUUGUAUUAGCUAGUAGGUGAGGUAACGGCUCACCUAGGCGACGAUACAUAGCCGACCUGAGAGGGUGAUCGGCCACACUGGGACUGAGACACGGCCCAGACUCCUACGGGAGGCAGCAGUAGGGAAUCUUCGGCAAUGGGGGCAACCCUGACCGAGCAACGCCGCGUGAGUGAAGAAGGUUUUCGGAUCGUAAAGCUCUGUUGUAAGUCAAGAACGAGUGUGAGAGUGGAAAGUUCACACUGUGACGGUAGCUUACCAGAAAGGGACGGCUAACUACGUG
RNAcentral lists this ribosomal RNA (497 nucleotides) under uncultured bacterium. RNAcentral describes it as "partial 16S ribosomal RNA". It matches the Rfam family "Bacterial small subunit ribosomal RNA", at positions 28 to 507 of the family's 1533-position model. The record is from RNAcentral.